ACGGGGUGCAGCAGGCGCGAAACCUCUACAAUGCACGAAAGUGUGAUAGGGGAACUCCACGUGCCUACAUUUGUAGGCUUUUCUCAAGUUUAAAACGCUUGGGGAAUAAGGGCUGGGCAAGACCCGUGCCAGCCGCCGCGGUAACACGGGCAGCUCAAGCGGUGUUCGCGUAUAUUGGGCCUAAAGCGUACGUAGCCUGUCCAUCAAGUUUCUGGUGAAAUCCUGCGACUUAAUCGUGGGACGUGCCAGGAAAACUGUUGGACUUGGGAUCGGAAGAGGUCGGGGGUAUUCCUGGGGUAGGGGUAAAAUCCUGUGAUCCCAGGAGGACCAUCGGUGGCGAAGGCGCCCGACUGGAACGUGUCCGACGGUGAGGUACGAAAGCUAGGGGAGCGACCCGGAUUAGAUACCCGGUUAGUCCUAGCCGUAAAUGAUGUCUGUUUGGUAUUGCAUGGCCUACGAGGCUUUGCAGUGCCGUAGGGAAGCCGUUAAACAGACCGCCUGGGGAGUACGGCCGCAAGGCUGAAACUUAAAGGAAUUGGCGGGGGAGUACUACAAGAGGUGGAGGCUGCGGUUUAAUUGGAUACAACGCCGGACAACUCACCAGGGAAGACAGCACGAUGAUGGUCAGUCCAAAGGGCUUACUUGAGGCGCUGAGAGGUAGUGCAUGGCCACCGUCAGCUCGUGCAGUGAUGUGUCCUGUUAAGUCAGGCAACGAGCGAGACCCGUGCUUCCAGUUGCUAACCUUUUUCUACGGAAGGGG
Molecule: ribosomal RNA, 760 nt
Filed under: uncultured archaeon
Lineage: Archaea
Description: bacterial SSU rRNA
Rfam family: Archaeal small subunit ribosomal RNA
Source: RNAcentral